CGGACGGGUGAGUAACGCGUGGGUAACCUGCCUCAUACAGGGGGAUAACAGUUAGAAAUGGCUGCUAAUACCGCAUAAGACCACAGUACUGCAUGGUACAGUGGUAAAACUCCGGUGGUAUGAGAUGGACCCGCGUCUGAUUAGGUAGUUGGUGAGGUAACGGCCCACCAAGCCGACGAUCAGUAGCCGACCUGAGAGGGUGACCGGCCACAUUGGGACUGAGACACGGCCCAG
RNAcentral lists this ribosomal RNA (234 nucleotides) under uncultured bacterium. RNAcentral describes it as "partial 16S ribosomal RNA". It matches the Rfam family "Bacterial small subunit ribosomal RNA", at positions 99 to 334 of the family's 1533-position model. The record is from RNAcentral.